GUAGAUAUUAGGAACUAACGAAAUAGUAAUAGUAUUACUAAUACAAUUAUAAGAGAAGCUGAAUCAUUACACUGAUAUCGAAACUACUUAUUCUAAAGAGAACCCCACAGGCAAAUGUGCAUAUGAAAUGAAAGCUGAACAAAGAUAUGAACAUAUAUGAACACCUUGAUAGUUUUUUAUAUACAUAAUAAAGUAAGUAGCUGAAAUCACACCAGAUAGAGACUAGCACGAUACAACACGCGUAGCUGCUUAAGAUAUAGCACGCUUUUAUCCUCCUCAUCCUUUCGGAUAUCAGCUAAAACUUGGGAAGAUAAACUUUAGACAUCUACAAUCUUCAGUUUUUCUCUGCUCAUGUACCAUAUAUGGAUUAUCAGGGCAUAACCGAGCUAUGCUGUCCUUGCGUUGCCAUCUGCUCAAAUCUUUAGCCAUGACUUAUCAGAAAUCAAAAUUGAAACUAUAUGAGCAAACUUAUACAGGGAUAACAUCAGCAUUUUGACUGUCGUCACAUGUCAAGAUGAGACCUUCGAUGUAAGUAGGGAGAAGACAACGGGUCCAUUGACAACCAGUUGAAAUAGGGUCUACUGGUGGAACAAUCAUUAGGAUGUUCUCAUGGCGCCUUACAAGCCCCAUUACACUUACAGUGCUUCCUUCUUUGAUGUAACCUUCUUUGAGGCGCAUUAUGCGGUCAUCACUUGAGAGGCUCCGAUCAGCAAGCCAGCGCAGGAAGUUGGGAGACAACUCUUUGUUAUUCUUUGUUACAUCAAUGACUGUAGUUGGCUUGACAAAUGGGACAACUUUUGCUCCAUAACCUGCCUUCACCAUAGCUCUUAAUCCAGACUGGAAGUCUGAGAUGUAGAAAUCAGCCACAUGUUUCUCUGAAUGCCUGCUUCCCCAUGAGAAGCAACGGUGGCUAGGAUUUGCUGAUUUUCCACCCCAACCUUUGUACUCGUCCAGUUCUGUUGAAGCAUAUACACAUCUCGCUGUCCGCUGAAAAGAAGUUUCAAGUGGGAUACUUCCACAAGUGACAACCCCAGUGACCUUGACAAAUUGUCCAUCAAUGGCACCUCUAAGCUCAGCAUCAGGAUAUCUCUUCAGAUAACCCAACAAUCCUCGUUCUUUAUACGCAAAAUUCCAAAGUAAAAUCACCACCAAUGGAGCUAAAAUUCCAGCUACUGCAACAAGAAUUACCGCCUUUUUCACCGCCACCAUCAGAAAAGCACCCACUACUAAACCCAUCAACACAACCACCAGAAACACCCACAUUGCCACUUUUGAAACCUUAAAACCCAGCUUUAUCUCAUCAUUUAAGCUCGUCACUGACGAACCAUACACAACUUUCUUAAACGAAGCAGCCGGUUCAAGCUGACCCGACCUCCGACCAGUGUUUGAACUCAACGGACCGGAAGUAAUCAGACCAGUAGGUUGAAUCGGAGUCAUAAGCUGACCGGAGAAAGACCCAGAUGAUUUCUUAGGCAUCGAACCGGAAUUAGUGAGUUUAUGCCCAACCGAACCGGAAUUAGGACCGGAUCUCACGGAUCCACUGUUAUGCUGUGAAGCAGAUGAUCCUCUUGACGAAGGUUUCAAAAUUGGUGGUGGGCCCGGGUAGUCCCCAACACCGUACAUUUUCCCAAGCUCGCCGGACUUCUUGAUAUCACCGCCGGUGUACGGCACUGCGCGUGAACCCAUUGUAGGCUGACGUUCCUUGAGCUGUUCGGGUCGACCCGAGACUAUCAACCCGUUGCUUAGCUGGUGUGACCCGGUUCGAGAACCCAUUUUUUAGAGAGAGAAAGUAUGUGUUUGAGAGUGUGAAGUUGCAGAAGCAGAGUGUUUUAGAGUGAGA
This 1840-nucleotide unclassified non-coding RNA is filed under the name Hevea brasiliensis (rubber tree). Lineage: Eukaryota; Viridiplantae; Streptophyta; Magnoliopsida; Malpighiales; Euphorbiaceae. The record is from RNAcentral.